UAAAAACGACUCUCGGCAACGGAUAUCUCGGCUCUCGCAUCGAUGAAGAACGUAACGAARUGCGAUACUUGGUGUGAAUUGCAGAAUCCCGUGAACCAUCGAGUCUUUGAACGCAAGUUGCGCCCGAAGCCAUCCGGCCGAGGGCACGCCUGCCUGGGCGUCACACACC
This 169-nucleotide ribosomal RNA is filed under the name Artocarpus scortechinii. RNAcentral describes it as "5.8S ribosomal RNA". It matches the Rfam family "5.8S ribosomal RNA". From Rfam's summary of the family: 5.8S ribosomal RNA (5.8S rRNA) is a component of the large subunit of the eukaryotic ribosome. It is transcribed by RNA polymerase I as part of the 45S precursor that also contains 18S and 28S rRNA. Functionally, it is thought that 5.8S rRNA may be involved in ribosome translocation. Lineage: Eukaryota; Viridiplantae; Streptophyta; Magnoliopsida; Rosales; Moraceae. The record is from RNAcentral.